RNAcentral lists this ribosomal RNA (440 nucleotides) under uncultured bacterium. RNAcentral describes it as "bacterial SSU rRNA". It matches the Rfam family "Bacterial small subunit ribosomal RNA", at positions 337 to 794 of the family's 1533-position model. The record is from RNAcentral.
UCCUACGGGAGGCAGCAGUGGGGAAUAUUGCGCAAUGGAGGAAACUCUGACGCAGCAACGCCGCGUGAAGGAAGAAGGCUUUCGGGUUGUAAACUUCUUUGAUCGGGGACGAAACAGACGGUACCCGAGGAACAAGCCACGGCUAACUACGUGCCAGCAGCCGCGGUAAUACGUAGGUGGCAAGCGUUGUCCGGAAUUACUGGGUGUAAAGGGCGUGUAGGCGGGAAAGAAAGUCAGAAGUGAAAUCCCAUGGCUUAACUGUGGAGCUGCUUCUGAAACUUCUUUUCUUGAGUGCUGGAGAGGAAAGUGGAAUUCCAAGUGUAGCGGUGAAAUGCGUAGAGAUUUGGAGGAACACCAGUGGCGAAGGCGGCUUUCUGGACAGUAACUGACGCUGAGGCGCGAAAGCGUGGGGAGCAAACAGGAUUAGAUACCCCGGUAGG